This 271-nucleotide ribosomal RNA is filed under the name uncultured bacterium. RNAcentral's name for it is "partial 16S ribosomal RNA". It matches the Rfam family "Bacterial small subunit ribosomal RNA", at positions 524 to 794 of the family's 1533-position model. The record is from RNAcentral.
UACGAAGGGGGCUAGCGUUGUUCGGAAUUACUGGGCGUAAAGGGCGCGUAGGCGGCCGUUUAAGUUAGGUGUGAAAGUCCUGGGCUCAACCUGGGGACUGCACUUAAUACUGGAUGGCUUGAAUUCGGGAGAGGAUAGCGGAAUUCCCAGUGUAGAGGUGAAAUUCGUAGAUAUUGGGAAGAACACCGGUGGCGAAGGCGGCUAUCUGGAUGAGUAUUGACGCUGAGGUGCGAAAGCGUGGGGAUCAAACAGGAUUAGAUACCCGUGUAGU